UACGAGGGGGGCGAGCGUUGUUCGGAAUUAUUGGGCGUAAAGGGUGCGUAGGUGGCGAGGUAAGUCGGAUGUGAAAGCUCGGAGCUCAACUCCGAAAUGGCAUUGGAAACUACCUGGCUUGAGGGUUGGAAGGGGGACUGGAAUUCUCGGUGUAGCAGUGAAAUGCGUAGAUAUCGAGAGGAACACCAGUGGCGAAGGCGAGUCCCUGGACAAUACCUGACACUGAGGCACGAAAGCUAGGGGAGCAAACAGG
Molecule: ribosomal RNA, 253 nt
Filed under: uncultured bacterium
Lineage: Bacteria
Description: partial 16S ribosomal RNA
Rfam family: Bacterial small subunit ribosomal RNA
Source: RNAcentral